GACGAACGCUGGCGGCGUGCUUAACACAUGCAAGUCGAGCGGUGCGGCGAACGGGUGAGUAACGCGUGAGUAACUGCCCCCCUCUCUGGUAUAACAGUUGGAAACGGCUGCUAAUACCGGAUAGUGGGGGAUGACUCGCGUCCUAUCAGCUUGUUGGUGGGGUAGUGGCGUACCAAGGCGACGACGGGUAGCCGGCCUGAGAGGGCGACCGGCCACAUUGGGCUGGGAUGCGGGCCGAACUCCUACGGGAGGCAGCAGUGAGGGAUAGUGGACAAUGGGGGAAGCCCGGAUGGAGCAACGCCGCGUGCGGGAGGACGGCUUUCGGGUUGUAAACCGCUUUCAGCCAUGACGCGGUAGUGGCAGAAGAAGCACCGGCUAACUACGUGCCAGCCGCCGCGGUAAUAC
Molecule: ribosomal RNA, 405 nt
Filed under: uncultured bacterium
Lineage: Bacteria
Description: partial 16S ribosomal RNA
Rfam family: Bacterial small subunit ribosomal RNA
Source: RNAcentral